RNAcentral lists this ribosomal RNA (388 nucleotides) under uncultured bacterium. RNAcentral describes it as "partial 16S ribosomal RNA". It matches the Rfam family "Bacterial small subunit ribosomal RNA", at positions 523 to 918 of the family's 1533-position model. The record is from RNAcentral.
AUACGUAGGUGGCAAGCGUUAUCCGGAAUUAUUGGACGUAAAGAGUGAGCAGGCGGUUAAUUAAGUCUGAGGUUAAAGCGUGGGGCUCAACCCCAUAAAGCCUUGGAAACUGAUUGACUAGAGUACGGGAGAAGUGAAGGGAACUCCAUGUGUAGCGGUGAAAUGCGUAGAUAUAUGGAAGAACACCAGUGGCGAAGGCGCUUCACUAGCCCGAAACUGACGCUCAGUCACGAAAGCGUGGGUAGCAAAUAGGAUUAGAUACCCUAGUAGUCCACGCUGUAAACGAUGACAACUAAAUAUUGCCGCGAGGCAGUGUUGAAGCUAACGCAUUAAGUUGUCCGCCUGGGGAGUACGGUCGCAAGACUGAAACUUAAAGGAAUUGACGGGG